This is a long non-coding RNA of Rosa rugosa (rugosa rose), 1036 nucleotides long. RefSeq lists it as uncharacterized. The record is from RefSeq and is a predicted model, not a curated record. NCBI's taxonomy places the organism in Eukaryota, Viridiplantae, Streptophyta, Magnoliopsida, Rosales, Rosaceae. The transcript has 3 exons.
UCUUGGCCGCGUCCCUCUCUCUCUGCCGUCGCCGGAAGCACAGUGUCCGGCCACCACCUCUCGUCACUGCUACCACCAGUCGAACCACAAUCCAAAUCCGACCACACGAACUAGGAAUAAAAGGGUUAGAAAACCCUAUAAACCCCAAAACUAUCCCCUCUCCCUCUCUCUCUCUCUCUCUCUCUCUCUCUCGUCCUCCCUCUCUGUCAUCGCCGGAAACACAGUGUCUGGCCACCACCUCUCGUCGUUGCUACCACCAGUCGAUCCACAAUCCAAAUCCGACCCCCAAGAGAAAUUACAACCAUUCAUUAGCUCCAACCUCCACACUCGAUUUCCAAACAUGCAAAAUCACUGCUCGUCAUCUUUCUUUGAUUUUCGGUCGUUUAUUUAGCUCACUGUCACCACCAACGAGCUCGGGGCAAGCCGAUUGUCAAAGCUCAGAAGCCUCACCACCGACCCGACAUCGGAGGAACCCGUAAGCGCGAUCACCAGAGCUCAAAGGUCUGGGUUUCAGCUUCUCCAAUAUCCAGCUCAAAGCAAGCUAAACCACCUUCAGAAAUGGAAUCAAUACUUCAAAAACCUCCAACCCUCAAAACCCCAAAGUCCGGCGCUACCUCGAGACUUCACACGCGCCGCUGUUCGCGGGUGAAAGUUUGUACCUCUGCCGCCCACAACAGCCGGUCUCUCAGACUGGCUUAACUAGGAAUUGAGGUUUGUGAAAGCUAGAAGAUUGAUGCUUUGGAGGAGAAAAGAGCUACUAGGUCAGUUUCGAUUGAAAAUCGAUUAAGGAAUCUGAAUGGUUGACAAUGGUGGGAUGCAGAUACGCUGAAUUAGCUUCUAAUUUGGAAAAGAAGAAUUGGUAAGGGUCUGAGUUUUAAAUCUGCUGCUUGUGAAACUAUUGUGGUUGAAAUAUGUUGUUUGAUUGAUGAAUGAGUGUGGUUAAUGUGUGAAAUUAUUUGUACCAGAUAUGCAACUCGAUUAAGUUUUGGUAUUGUGAUUCACGAUUGAAAUUGUAGAGAUGGGUAAUAAGUGUGAC